GGAUAGAGUGGCGAUGCUGGUUCUCCCGCCCUCGGGCGGGAGUCGUAAGAGGGAAUCCGGUGUGAAUCCGGGACUGCCCCCGCAGCGGUGAGUGGGAACGACCGCCGUAUUACGCACUGGGACGACCACCUGGGAAGCGACGGCCAGUAGGAGCCCGAUCGGCAGCUCGAUCGACGUGCCCGCGAGUCCGAAGACCUGCCAGUGCGUCGCGCUCCCG
Molecule: non-coding RNA, 217 nt
Filed under: Kineosphaera limosa
Lineage: Bacteria; Bacillati; Actinomycetota; Actinomycetes; Micrococcales; Dermatophilaceae
Source: RNAcentral